UUAACCGGAAAACCAUUAAAAUUAAUGAUUGUUAUUGUUGAUUCAUGUGGGCAGAGUCGCAGAAUUCAGUCCUUUUGUUUGUGUUACAAAUACAAAUACAAAUACAACAAUUAUAAAUAAAGUUAAAUUUCCAAAGAAAAUUCAAAGGCAGAAAUUGUAAAUAGACCAGACUAUUAAACAACGCACACCUACUGCUGCUGCCGAGUUUUCUUAAAACGCGGCAACGAAUGAGACCUGAAACCGCAAAACUACAAAAUCAUAUUGCAACUUGUAAUCGUUUUCACUGAUAUCGUUUACCAGUUUUCAGUUUUGACUAAAGACCGCACACCCCAUCAUCAUCUUCAUCUUCAGCAAACCCUAACCUUUUCACUGAUAUCAUUCUACAAGUUUUCAUUCUAGACUGGCAGGACUAGGUCAAAUUUCUAUGCUAAUUCACCAAUACCCCCAUUCCCUAAUUCAAACAAGCAAUUAUCACAAUCAGAACUCUAUCCUGCAAAAAUUAUUAAUAUAGCUACAACUAUAUGAUAUAUAACACGAUUAUGGCUGACUACAUCACUUUAAAAUAACAACGGCCAUUCAUCCUGAAGUUUCCGCAUCUACACUACAUAUAUACUUGGACAUGUAUAAAUAUAUAUAAACAAAAAGAAGGGAAGGAUUAAAUUCCCUUCUGUCUAAAUUUCAGCAUGAGCACGUGCGGAACCUUAACCCACAAGCAUGAUGAUUAUCUCAUUCACCCCGACAAUUUGUUGGGGGCAAAUUCAGCAGUCA
This 768-nucleotide long non-coding RNA is filed under the name Ricinus communis (castor bean). Its description in RNAcentral is "long non-coding RNA (RCOM_LNC000348)". The record is from RNAcentral. Lineage: Eukaryota; Viridiplantae; Streptophyta; Magnoliopsida; Malpighiales; Euphorbiaceae.